UACGGAGGGUGCGAGCGUUAAUCGGAUUUACUGGGCGUAAAGCGUGCGCAGGCGGCCCGUUAAGACAGGUGUGAAAUCCCUGGGCUCAACCUAGGAAUUGCGCUUGUGACUGGCGGGCUCGAGUACGGUAGAGGGGGGUGGAAUUCCUGGUGUAGCAGUGAAAUGCGUAGAGAUCAGGAGGAACACCGAUGGCGAAGGCAGCCCCCUGGGCCUGUACUGACGCUCAUGCACGAAAGCGUGGGGAUCAAACAGG
RNAcentral lists this ribosomal RNA (253 nucleotides) under uncultured microorganism. Its description in RNAcentral is "partial 16S ribosomal RNA". It matches the Rfam family "Bacterial small subunit ribosomal RNA", at positions 524 to 776 of the family's 1533-position model. The record is from RNAcentral.